GUGUAAAGGAAAGUGACUUCCGGAUUUCCCUCGCUGGCUAGAAGAGUCCUUGUCCUGCCCUUUUAAGGUGCGGAAAGUGUGGAACAGGCGGGAGGACCCGGCAUCCUGGGGGCGGGGCCGGUUUAGGCGUGGACAGUGCGGGCAAGGCCCUGUUGGGAGUUCUGAAUGUGACAUCCGUGGGACAACUGGACACAUGGGCUUGACUCGAAGGAAACAGGAGGCACCAGAGAUGUGGGGUUUGGGAUCAGCAGUCUGGAGAGAGACGUUAGGACCCUGGGAAGGGAUAGCUGCCUCUAGGGAGACUACAGAAAGAAGUUCAAGGGACAAAAGCCAGGUACCGCGGUUGAAGAGGCAGAAGGGGUACUGAGGCAGGUAAUCAUUUACCUUGUCAUUGUAUCUACAGGCCCUCAAAGUUGUGGGACAGGCAGGGACGCUCCCGGCGGCCCUUUCUCGCCACCUGCUGGUCAUGGGGUUUAAUGAUGAGCUCAGGAAAGGGGAUUCCCAGGGGAGAGGCCAGAGUCCUGCUGGCCAUUGCAACGCUGCUAAUUCCCUUUCACAGGCUCUGACCUCAACCUGCCCAGUCCGCGUAGCUUCUAGGCCUUGAGGGAAUGGAAGUCCCUCCCUGUCCUGUGCAGGGCAAGAAAAUCAGAAGUGGGAAAUGGGGUGGAGGUCUGGGGCUGUCCUAGAGAAAGGAAGACUGCCCAAAGCCUGGGGCUCUCUGGGGUCACUGGAUGCCCUGGUGAGAGAGGCCUGGGCCACUCAGUCUCAGCUGCAGAGCCUUGGGCCCUGGCUCACCUGGUUGCCUCACCCUUGACACUAAAAAAGGGACGAAGAGCCAGCAGGCCACCCUGCUCCUGCACCCUGCCUCUGCCUUGUGACUGUGCUUAAUAUAGGUCAAAUGAAAACAGCUCCCAAAAUAGCCCUUCUCUGAGAGGCAGCUGUGGCUGUGAAGUGCUCCACAGAAAGGGAGAAGGUGUGGGUGACAGGGGAGCCUAGGUCCCCUCAGGUGUUACGUAACCCGGGCUCAGGGAUCCAGGCCAAGUAUCUGUGUGGGGGGGGUCCCUGUCUCCCCCCGGCCUUCCCCUCUCCACUACCCCCAGGCCCAGCCGCACAAGCAAAAACGGAGCAGGGCCCCUCUUGAUGCAAGGUCACCCCAAAGCAACACUCCAGGGAGCCUGUCAUGCAUGCCUAAGUGGUCACAUGACUCCUCCUCCCAGAGCUGGCCGGGAGCCCUGGAAAGGGUCAGCUGACUCCCCGGAAGGGCCAGUGCCUGGGCCAGGUUCAUCUGACCCAAGGCACAGGCUCAGAGAGCUGGGGAGGAGAAGAGACCACAGGUCCUGCCUAGGGCCGGAGGACGUGUCACUGUGGGAGGGGGCUGUGGCCACUUUCUCAGCUUUGCCUCAGCUGCAGGGGCCUUUCUGUGCCCACCAGUCAUUUCUCCACAUUCAGGGCCCACUUCCUCAGACUGCCCUGAGCCAGGCCUCUCUGGUCACUGCAGGUGCUAUGGUGGAAGAGACCCCUCCUUGCCCACAGGGUCUCAGAGCCCAGAAAGCGGGACAGACAGAGGCCCCCAGGGGACAGGGGGGCACUAUCUUGAUUUAGUUUUUUCUCAGACAGGGUCUCACUAUGUGGUCCAGACUCAUGGUGAUCCUCCUGCCUCAGCCUCCCAAGUGCUGGGAUUACAGGAACUCCCAACACCUCAGAUCCUCAAUACCAGCUCACCUUGACUGCCUUUAGGGUCCAAGCCUUGAGGAAUCCCGGAGGGAACUUUCUUCCCACCUUUUCCAGAAAUCUGCUCGACACUUCAUCUCACAGCCACCACCCAACGGUUCUCCCUCAGCUCUGGCGCAAUUCCUGUCCCCCUCCUCCUGUGCCCCAGACUCUGAAGGGGGCAUAAGACGUGGCAGAGAGAGGGGUAGGCAGCCCCUCGGACUGGUCCAGAACAGGAGUUGCAGCCACUGGCUGUGAAGUGAGGAGAGGCGGAAGGAGGAGAAGCUGUUGGCCAGUGAAGAGUAAAACAGUCUCACAGGACCUGGGCGGCAGAUGGAAGCACAGUCGUCAGGAUGGGAGAGGAGGCAAGGAACGUGGACAAGGAACCCGAUAGCAGAAGGAGCUGAAAGAUGGGCCACAGAGGGAGUCACAGGGGAGCAGGAGAGAAGAGAGAUGGCGACCCAAGCCCUUGGCUGCUCCACAGUGCGAUUUGAGGGACAAAGGAGUCUGUAAUGGUGAAAGUGGGCCUGGGAGAGCGAGUGUGGAGAGGUGUGGGGGAGGCUGGAGACAAAAUAAACCAGGCUGUCAGGGGCUGUGGGGCGGGCCAGGGUAACUGCUGACGCGAGCUGGACUUCUUUGGGAUUGAUAAAAG
Molecule: long non-coding RNA, 2362 nt
Filed under: Heterocephalus glaber (naked mole-rat)
Lineage: Eukaryota; Metazoa; Chordata; Mammalia; Rodentia; Bathyergidae
Description: lncRNA (ENSHGLG00100033744.1)
Source: RNAcentral